This 492-nucleotide ribosomal RNA is filed under the name uncultured bacterium. RNAcentral describes it as "partial 16S ribosomal RNA". It matches the Rfam family "Bacterial small subunit ribosomal RNA", at positions 29 to 507 of the family's 1533-position model. The record is from RNAcentral.
AGUGAACGCUGGCGGUAGGCCUAACACAUGCAAGUCGAACGGCAGCACAGUAAGAGCUUGCUCUUACGGGUGGCGAGUGGCGGACGGGUGAGGAAUACAUCGGAAUCUACUUUUUCGUGGGGGAUAACGUAGGGAAACUUACGCUAAUACCGCAUACUACCUACGGGUGAAAGCAGGGGAUCUUCGUACCUUGCGCGAUUGAAUGAGCCGAUGUCGGAUUAGCUAGUUGGCGGGGUAAAGGCCCACCAAGGCGACGAUCCGUAGCUGGUCUGAGAGGAUGAUCAGCCACACUGGAACUGAGACACGGUCCAGACUACUACGGGAGGCAGCAGUGGGGAAUAUUGGACAAUGGGCGCAAGCCUGGUCCAGCCAUACCGCGUGAGUGACGAAGGCCUUCGGGUUGUAAAGCCCUUUUGUUGGGAAAGAAAAGCAGCAGGUUAAUACCCCGCUGUUCUGACGGUACCCAAAGAAUAAGCACCGGCUAACUUCGUG